This 460-nucleotide ribosomal RNA is filed under the name uncultured bacterium. RNAcentral's name for it is "partial 16S ribosomal RNA". It matches the Rfam family "Bacterial small subunit ribosomal RNA", at positions 338 to 795 of the family's 1533-position model. The record is from RNAcentral.
CCUACGGGCGGCAGCAGUGAGGAAUAUUGGUCAAUGGUCGAGAGUCUGAACCAGCCAAGUAGCGUGAAGGAUGACUGCCCUAUGGGUUGUAAACUUCUUUUAUAUGGGAAUAAAAUGUUCCACGUGUGGGGUUUUGUAUGUACCCUAUGAAUAAGGAUCGGCUAAAUCCGUGCCAGCAGCCGCGGUAAUACGGAGGAUCCGGGCGUUAUCCGGAUUUAUUGGGUUUAAAGGGAGCGUAGGUGGAUUGUUAAGUGAGUUGUGAAAGUUUGCGGCUCAACCGUAAAAUUGCAGUUGAAACUGGCAGUCUUGAGUACAGUAGAGGUGGGCGGAAUUCGUGGUGUAGCGGUGAAAUGCUUAGAUAUCACGAAGAACUCCGAUUGCGAAGGCAGCAUACUGGACCGCAACUGACACUGAGGCUCGAAAGUGUGGGUAUCGAACAGGAUUAGAUACCCUUGUAGUC